CUGCUUUUGCCUCCUUUUCUUCUAUCUGGGUAAAGUACACCUUCCAUGCUAAGACGGAAUUCUGAUGGCUUGUUUUUCCCCUCUGUUACUCCUUCUAGAUCCCAUUUUGUCUGCAUCAUAUAUAUAUAUAUGCUUCAACUUAAUCAAUACUAUAUAUAUAUAUAUAUAUAUCCUUAAUUAAUUUUUUAAGUAUGUGCACAUCAUACAAUUUUGAACUCAAGAACCAUAGAGGUAUGGGUAGGAACGCCAGAAGGGUAUUCUUUCCCAUUAGUUUUGCAUCUAAGUCUCAUGUUAACAACUGGGCAUGCUGUGAGGAACAAGAAGCCAAUCGGUUCCAUUCGGAUUCUCCAUUCUUCCUGCACCAACAUACAUAUAAUUAAUUAUUCAAUUACACAUUAUUAUACUAAAAUAGUAGUAGUUAAUUAAUUACCUCGUUAAGACGUUGGGUUCCUCUGUUAUCUGGGGAAAUAGCUUUGAAGACUCUUGGUUUGUCCUCCAAGUACCUAUCGAAAGAUGCCUGUGUACAUAAAAGCGUAAUUAAUUAACAACAUAUAUUAUAAAAACAGAGAGUGUAGUGUAUGUGAAUUGUGAACGUACAUGAGGGGAUUCAAAGAGGGGCAUGUCAGAUACAAUGGUGAUUUGUGAAUCAUAACUCUGUUGAUGAGCCUUAAUGGGAUGGUAUUUUGUACGGAAUUUCUGCUUUGAUGGACUCAACACUAGUACUAUAUUUCUCUCGAAGAAUUGAAAGCCUCUGCUUCUUAUUCUGCCAGGCUGCAACGUCGCACAAAUUAAGGGAACUGUCACUGCCACAACACUUGGGUUCAUGAUUGACUAGCUGAUAAUUCGAUCUAUUUCUUUACCUCUUUCAAGUUUUUGGAGCUAAAUCACUACUCUUUUUUCUUUUUUUUUGCAAUGGAAUUAAUUCUCUGCCUGAAAGUUGGGACAUUACACCUUAUAUUCUUACUCUGUCCCAUUUUAUAUUAGAUAGUUUGAUUCCCGAGUUUAAAAAGAAGAAAAAACUUUAAAAACUUGUGAUCCAAAAUGAAUGAUAGAAAUUUGUGUAAUUAUAAAUCAUUUAAUUAAGUAUAAAAUGUACAUUUUAAAAUUAAAUUAUCACUUAAUAUAAAAAUAUAUCAUUUUUUUUUAAUUGACUAAAAAUGAAAGUAAGUCAUAAAUUUUAAUAUAUCAUAUUCAAAACCCAAAUCAUUUUCAUUUCAUUACUGACUUCAGUACUUGGAGUAACUGGACCUACCAUGUUUCUUUUGGAGUACACAUUUCCAACGUUAUUCCAUCAAUAAUUGUUAGAUAUUUUAUUCUUUAUAUAUAUAUUUUUUUCCGGAUAAAUAUAAAAUGGUAAUUUAUGUAUUUUUCUUUAAAAAUAUCUUUGAAAACUGUCUUCAUCGUGUAUCAUCAUCCGCAGUGUAAUUUGUACGGCACGUGUUUGGUGUUAAUCAAUAAGACUAUAUAAAAAUAAAAUUAUUAAAAAAUAGUAAUUGACUUUAAAAUAAAUGUUAUAUUUAUUUAAAUAAAUAUUAUAUCUCAAAUAUGUUAUUGUGUGUCGUAUCUCGCCUCAUAUUUCUUUACAAAUAAUUUGUUAUAUUUUUCUGGUCACUUUAGCUAUUUUAUCAUAAAAAAUAAUAAUUGUUGUAGACAUUUAUAAUUUUCAUUAAAAAGAAACAAAAAUAUUUUAAACCUUCUUGCUGAAAUUCGAAACAAAAAAAUAAUAAUCUCAAACAAAAUAGAAUACUAUGAAAUGAAAAGAAAUAAAACACAAAAAUAUUAAAGAAGGGUUCAAUGGAGCAUGACUAAAGUAGAAAGAAAUCUAUAUCUAUAUCUAUAUAUAAUAUAAAGCUAGAUAAAAGAUCUCUUUGGCCAAGAAUCCUAUUUAUCUUUUUUUUUCUCAUUUUUUUGACAUUUUAUUUAUUUAUUUAUUGUUUAUUAUUAUUUUACAAAUAUGAAUGUGGCAAUUACUAUUCCUUUCAUUUAUUCAUAUUCUUUAAUAUAAACUUUAAUUGUCUUUAUUUUCAUUACUCUCAUGACUUUUCAUGAUCAUAACUCCUAAAUUUUAUUACUAAUAGUCAUGUUCAUGAUUUCAUUUGGUAUUCCCUAUUGUUAUCCUAUAAAUAGAGGCAUUAUAAAUUUUUCUUACAAAAUAAACGAUCAAAUCUAUAUAGUAUAUAGAUGUGUGUAAAGCUCUCAAAUUUGUGGUAAAGGUGCUUUAAGAUGAUCAAGCUAAAAGAAAGGCACAUAUAUUCUAUACUUUUUUCUUCUUCUUUUCGAUCAUCAUAAUACUAUUUUGAGUUUGAUAUUUAUUUGAUUUGAUUUGAUUAUAGGUAGACAUCUACAGAAAAUACAAAGAAAACAGAUGGGUUGAUGAUAAGAAAUUGUAAACAAUUCUUCUCAAACUCUCUUUUAUAUUUAUUUUUAUUUUUCUUUUUCUUUGUGUGUUUGACUAAAGAAGUUAUACUCAUUGAUCAUAAAUUUUGCUAAGUAACAAAUAUAUGAGGUAUUCAAUUAUACUCUUACUUUAAUGUUAAUUAUUUUUAAAGAAUUUCUUUAUUUUGCAGCAUUUGGAGAAUGGAGGGGGAGGGGAGAUAGAAAAGUGAAAUUUUAUCAGAUGGGUCAAAGAUAAAAAUUGUAAGCAAUUCUUCUCAAAUUUUCGUUUAUAUUUAUAUCCCCUUUUCUUAAUAUGUUUGAGUAUAGAAGUUAUACUCAAUUGAUCAUAAAUUUUGCUAAGUGAUAAACAUAAUUAUUCUCUUACUUUAUUGUUCUAAGUUUCUUUUUUUUUAUAAAGAAUAUAUGUAUUUUGCAGUAUUUGGAAAAGUGAAGGAGCGGGGGGCGGGGGCAGGGGGGAGUGAAAUUUUAUGAUAAAAUUAAAUUCUGAACUUAAAUAAAUUCAAUUGAAAUUACAAUUCAUAACUGUAAAAAUAAUAUUGUUUCAUCAUUUUAUAGGUAUAGAUACCCUGAUAUACGAGGUGAAGAAAAUGGAAAGGUGAAACAACUGAUUUAAGAUUAAGAGCAAG
Molecule: long non-coding RNA, 3023 nt
Filed under: Solanum tuberosum (potato)
Lineage: Eukaryota; Viridiplantae; Streptophyta; Magnoliopsida; Solanales; Solanaceae
Description: long non-coding RNA (STUB_LNC003278)
Source: RNAcentral